GCAGCUAUAGUUUAUCGGUAAAAUAGUCGACUGUGACUCGACUGUGCUGGGUUCGAUUCCCAGUAGCUGCC
This 71-nucleotide transfer RNA is filed under the name Hymenobacter sp. Its description in RNAcentral is "tRNA-His". It matches the Rfam family "tRNA". From Rfam's summary of the family: Transfer RNA (tRNA) molecules are approximately 80 nucleotides in length. Their secondary structure includes four short double-helical elements and three loops (D, anti-codon, and T loops). The record is from RNAcentral. Lineage: Bacteria; Pseudomonadati; Bacteroidota; Cytophagia; Cytophagales; Hymenobacteraceae.